This is a long non-coding RNA of Ictidomys tridecemlineatus (thirteen-lined ground squirrel), 1178 nucleotides long. RefSeq lists it as uncharacterized. NCBI's taxonomy places the organism in Eukaryota, Metazoa, Chordata, Mammalia, Rodentia, Sciuridae. The record is from RefSeq and is a predicted model, not a curated record.
CGGAACCGGUGCCCGCUUGGGAACGUGAGGACUGGCUGACUGGUGUCGGUUUCCCCCACGCAUAGGGUUACUUGACAGUUCCCGACGUGACAUCCUCUCCCUCGCCUUUUUGGCUUUUUGCUACACGCCGGAUUGCAUUCGGAAAAGCUGAUUCCCUGAAAGCGGCCCCUCCCCCUCAAACCAGGGAACAACAGUGAGCCCGCCCUGUCAUCCUUUGCCCUACAUCCAGCCUCAAGAUUAUGGAAUCCCAUGCCACUUUCUCCCAACUCAACCCUUUGACUAGGAAGCCCUUUUCCUUUUGGACGCCAGAAUUCCCCGCCCCAGAACUGCAGAGGGAAUAAAGAAGUGGUGAGCUGUGGUGAUCAACAUGAAGAUCCUUCUACCCUAGUGGACCAGACCACACACUACAAUGACCAAGUGACUGUAAUGUGUUGCUGUCUUUUGUUGAAUCACCUGACCUGACCACCAACCACGCUCAAAUUUCCUACUCCUCACACACUAGGUUCCAUUUUGUCCAUGAUUCUGGUUUUUGUACUGGGGAUUUGCUCUAUCACUGAGCUACACCCCCAAUCCUUUAUAGUCUUGAGAUGGGAUCUUGCUACAUUGUCCAGGCUGGACUCAAAUUUGCCUCAGCCUCCCACCUCCUAAAUCUCUGGGAUUACAAGUGUACCACUAUGUCUGGCUGAUCCUCUGCUUCUUUUAAGUCACCUAACAUUCAUUAUCCCUUGCUUUCUAUUGUCUGUAUUUUCUCCACUUCUUGAAAAAAGCUUAUUCUUACUGUUUCAUCUUCACACUUAUCUCACCUCUCUACCUUCUCCUACUUCCUUUAUAAACAACCUUCUUUUCCUUACUUCACCCCCUACCUCCUCAUAAUGUUCUACGUUAAUUAGAAAUAAAUGUUGAGGGGCUGGGAUUGUGGCUCAGCGGUUGAGCACUUGCCUAUAACGUGCAAGGCCCUGGGUAUGAUCCUCAGCACCACAUAUAAAUAAAUAAAUUAAAUAAAGGUAUUGUGUUCAUGACAACUAAAAAAAUAUAUUUAAAAAAAAUGUUGAAAGGGGUUUAGAAUUUGAUGGCAUUUCAAAUCACCUGAAAUUACUUCUAAAGUAUCCCAGAUGAUACUCUAUUAUAUUCUGCUUUGCUAUCUCAAGAAUAAUGAAUAUAUUAAAUGAGGCAAAGAA